UACGUAGGGUGCGAGCGUUGUCCGGAAUUAUUGGGCGUAAAGGGCUCGUAGGCGGUCUGUUGCGUCGGGAGUGAAAACUCAGGGCUUAACCCUGAGCCUGCUUCCGAUACGGGCAGACUAGAGGUAUGCAGGGGAGAACGGAAUUCCUGGUGUAGCGGUGAAAUGCGCAGAUAUCAGGAGGAACACCGGUGGCGAAGGCGGGUCUCUGGGCAAUUCCUGACGCUGAGGCGCGAAAGCGUGGGGAGCAAACGGG
This 253-nucleotide ribosomal RNA is filed under the name uncultured bacterium. RNAcentral's name for it is "partial 16S ribosomal RNA". It matches the Rfam family "Bacterial small subunit ribosomal RNA", at positions 524 to 776 of the family's 1533-position model. The record is from RNAcentral.